RNAcentral lists this ribosomal RNA (460 nucleotides) under uncultured bacterium. RNAcentral describes it as "partial 16S ribosomal RNA". It matches the Rfam family "Bacterial small subunit ribosomal RNA", at positions 338 to 795 of the family's 1533-position model. The record is from RNAcentral.
CCUACGGGAGGCAGCAGUGAGGAAUAUUGGUCAAUGGACGAGAGUCUGAACCAGCCAAGUAGCGUGAAGGAUGACUGCCCUAUGGGUGGUAAACUUCUUUUAUAUGGGAGUAAAAUGUUCCACGUGUGGAAUUUUGUAUGUACCAUAUGAAUAAGGAUCGGCUAACUCCGUGCCAGCAGCCGCGGUAAUACGGAGGAUCCGAGCGUUAUCCGGAUUUAUUGGGUUUAAAGGGAGCGUAGGUGGAUUGUUAAGUCAGUUGUGAAAGUUUGUGGCUCAACCGUAGAAUUGCAGUUGAAACUGGGAGUCUUGAGUACAGUAGAGGUGAGCGGAAUUCGUGGUGUAGCGGUGAAAUGCUUAGAUAUCACGAAGAACUCCGAUUGCGAAGGCAGCUCACUGGACUGCAACUGACACUGAGGCUCGAAAGUGUGGGUAUCAAACAGGAUUAGAUACCCCUGUAGUC